UAAAUAGAAGUAUAUUUAAUAUGCAAUCAGCUUCGAACUGAAAAAAGGUGUAAGCCCUAUUUAA
This 64-nucleotide transfer RNA is filed under the name Platorchestia japonica. RNAcentral describes it as "tRNA-Arg". Lineage: Eukaryota; Metazoa; Arthropoda; Malacostraca; Amphipoda; Talitridae. The record is from RNAcentral.